GGCCGCGGGAAUUCCAUUCAAGCCUAACACAUGCAAGUCGAACGGAAAGGCCUCCUUUUUGCUGGGGGUACUCGCGUGGCGAACGGGUGAGUAACACGUGGGUGAUCUGCCCUGCACUUCGGGAUAACCUUGGGAAACUGGGUCUAAUACCGGAUAUGAACGGUCUUUGGUGUGAUUGUUGGAAAGAUUUUUUCGGUGUGGGAUGAGCUCGCGGCCUAUCAGCUUGUUGGUGGGGUAAUGGCCUACCAAGGCGUCGACGGGUAGCCGGCCUGAGAGGGUGUACGGCCACAUUGGGACUGAGAUACGGCCCAGACUCCUACGGGAGGCAGCAGUGGGGAAUAUUGCACAAUGGGCGCAAGCCUGAUGCAGCGACGCCGCGUGGGGGAUGAAGGCCUUCGGGUUGUAAACUCCUUUCGCUAGGGACGAAGCCUUUUUUAAGGUGACGGUACCUGGAUAAGAAGCACCGGCUAACUACGUGCCAGCAGCCGCGGUAAUACGUAGGGUGCAAGCGUUGUCCGGAAUUACUGGGCGUAAAGAGCUCGUAGGUGGUUUGUCGCGUCGUCUGUGAAAUUCCGGGGCUUAACUCCGGGCGUGCAGGCGAUACGGGCAUAACUUGAGUGCUGUAGGGGAGACUGGAAUUCCUGGUGUAGCGGUGAAAUGCGCAGAUAUCAGGAGGAACACCGAUGGCGAAGGCAGGUCUCUGGGCAGUAACUGACGCUGAG
This 722-nucleotide ribosomal RNA is filed under the name uncultured bacterium. RNAcentral's name for it is "bacterial SSU rRNA". It matches the Rfam family "Bacterial small subunit ribosomal RNA", at positions 20 to 750 of the family's 1533-position model. The record is from RNAcentral.